AGUGAACGCUGGCGGUAGGCCUAACACAUGCAAGUCGAACGGCAGCACAGUAAGAGCUUGCUCUUACGGGUGGCGAGUGGCGGACGGGUGAGGAAUACAUCGGAAUCUACUUUUUCGUGGGGGAUAACGUAGGGAAACUUACGCUAAUACCGCAUACGACCUACGGGUUAAAGCAGGGGAUCUUCGGACCUUGCGCGAUUGAAUGAGCCGAUGUCGGAUUAGCUAGUUGGCGGGGUAAAGGCCCACCAAGGCGACGAUCCGUAGCUGGUCUGAGAGGAUGAUCAGCCACACUGGAACUGAGACACGGUCCAGACUCCUACGGGAGGCAGCAGUGGGGAAUAUUGGACAAUGGGCGAAAGCCUGAUCCAGCCAUACCGCGUGGGUGAAGAAGGCCUUCGGGUUGUAAAGCCCUUUUGUUGGGAAAGAAAGGCAGCAGGUUAAUACCCCGCUGUUCUGACGGUACCCAAAGAAUAAGCACCGGCUAACUUCGUG
RNAcentral lists this ribosomal RNA (492 nucleotides) under uncultured bacterium. Its description in RNAcentral is "partial 16S ribosomal RNA". It matches the Rfam family "Bacterial small subunit ribosomal RNA", at positions 29 to 507 of the family's 1533-position model. The record is from RNAcentral.